This 267-nucleotide ribosomal RNA is filed under the name Licmophora paradoxa. RNAcentral's name for it is "partial Bacterial small subunit ribosomal RNA". It matches the Rfam family "Bacterial small subunit ribosomal RNA", at positions 87 to 354 of the family's 1533-position model. Lineage: Eukaryota; Bacillariophyta; Fragilariophyceae; Licmophorales; Licmophoraceae. The record is from RNAcentral.
GGUGGCGACCGGCGCACGGGUGCGUAACGCGUAUGCAACUUACCCAUUACUGGGGGAUAGCCCGGGGAAACUCGGAUUAAUACCCCAUAGUACCAUUUGAUGGCAUCUGAAGAUGGUUAAAGAUUUAUUGGUAAUGGAUGGGCAUGCGUCUGAUUAGUUAGUUGGUGAGGUAACGGCUCACCAAGACGAUGAUCAGUAGGGGGUCUGAGAGGAUGAUCCCCCACACUGGUACUGAGAUACGGACCAGACUCCUACGGGAGGCAGCAG